Molecule: ribosomal RNA, 225 nt
Filed under: uncultured bacterium
Lineage: Bacteria
Description: partial 16S ribosomal RNA
Rfam family: Bacterial small subunit ribosomal RNA
Source: RNAcentral
CACACUGGCACUGAGACACGGGCCAGACUCCUACGGGAGGCAGCAGUGAGGAAUUUUGCGCAAUGGGGGCAACCCUGACGCAGCAACGCCGCGUGUGGGAAGAAGGCUUUCGGGUUGUAAACCACUUUUGUAAGGGACGAAGUCCUUUCGGAUAAUACCCGAGGGGGAUGACGGUACCUUGCGAAUAAGCCACGGCUAACUCUGUGCCAGCCGCCGCCGUAACAC